CGCUGUCACUCCUACGGGGAGGCAGCAGUGGGGGAAUAUUGCACAAUGGGCGCAAGCCUGAUGCAGCCAUGCCGCGUGUGUGAAGAAGGCCUUCGGGUUGUAAAGCACUUUCAGUCGUGAGGAAGGUAGUGUAGUUAAUAGCUGCAUUAUUUGACGUUAGCGACAGAAGAAAGCACCGGCUAACUCCGUGCCAGCAGCCGCGGUAAUACGGAGGGUGCGAGCGUUAAUCGGAAUUACUGGGCGUAAAGCGCAUGCAGGUGGUUUGUUAAGUCAGAUGUGAAAGACCCGGGGCUCAACCUCGGAAUUGCAUUUGAAACUGGCAGACUAGAGUACUGUAGAGGGGGGUAGGAAUUUCAGGUGUAGCGGUGAAAUGCGUAGAGAUCUGAAGGAAUACCGGUGGCGAAGGCGGCCCCCCUCGGACAGAUACUGACACUCAGAUGCGAAAGCGUGGGGAGCAAACAGGAUUAGAUACCCUGGUAG
This 480-nucleotide ribosomal RNA is filed under the name uncultured bacterium. RNAcentral's name for it is "bacterial SSU rRNA". It matches the Rfam family "Bacterial small subunit ribosomal RNA", at positions 328 to 793 of the family's 1533-position model. The record is from RNAcentral.